GACGAACGCUGGCGGCGUGCUUAACACAUGCAAGUCGAACGGUGAAGGGAUCAGCUUGCUGGUUCUGGAUGAGUGGCGAACGGGUGAGUAACACGUGAGUAACCUGCCCCCUUCUUCUGGAUAACCGCAUGAAAGUGUGGCUAAUACGGGAUAUUCUGGGUCUGUCGCAUGAUGGGUCUGGGAAAGAUAUUGUUUCGGUGGGGGAUGGGCUCGCGGCCUAUCAGCUUGUUGGUGGGGUGAUGGCCUACCAAGGCGGUGACGGGUAGCCGGCCUGAGAGGGUGGACGGUCACACGGGGACUGAGACACGGCCCAGACUCCUACGGGAGGCAGCAGUGGGGAAUAUUGCACAAUGGGCGCAAGCCGGAUGCAGCGACGCCGCGUGAGGGAUGGAGGCCUUCGGGUUGUAAACCUCUUUCGCCAGUGAAGCAGGCCUGCUCCUUGUGGGUGGGUUGACGGUAGCUGGAUAAGAAGCGCCGGCUAACUACGUG
RNAcentral lists this ribosomal RNA (489 nucleotides) under uncultured bacterium. RNAcentral describes it as "partial 16S ribosomal RNA". It matches the Rfam family "Bacterial small subunit ribosomal RNA", at positions 28 to 507 of the family's 1533-position model. The record is from RNAcentral.